CCUGGCCUUGGGCCGCUCGCGGGGGCCCGUCGCUUGCGACGGUGCUCUCGGGGGUGCUUAGCCCUUGAUCAUCACCUUGAUUAUGCGCACCUUCGUUGUUCCCUCGGCAGUUCGCUGCCGCCAGGGACCCGUAAACCCUUUUGUAUAAGCAUCAAACCUCUGAGAACAAACUUAAUUAUUUA
Molecule: unclassified non-coding RNA, 182 nt
Filed under: uncultured Dothideomycetes
Lineage: Eukaryota; Fungi; Ascomycota; Dothideomycetes
Description: sequence contains ITS1
Source: RNAcentral